Molecule: transfer RNA, 76 nt
Filed under: Lignipirellula cremea
Lineage: Bacteria; Pseudomonadati; Planctomycetota; Planctomycetia; Pirellulales; Pirellulaceae
Description: Planctomycetes bacterium Pla85_3_4 tRNA-Asn
Rfam family: tRNA
About the family: Transfer RNA (tRNA) molecules are approximately 80 nucleotides in length.
Source: RNAcentral
UGCGGUGGAGCUCGUGGUGGUACGGGCAGGCGGUUGUUACCCGCCCCGACGCAGGUUCGAUUCCUGCCUCCGCAGC